UACGUAGGGUGCGAGCGUUGUCCGGAAUUAUUGGGCGUAAAGAGCUCGUAGGCGGUGUGUCACGUCGGCCGUGAAAACCUGCAGCUUAACUGUGGGCGUGCGGUCGAUACGGGCAUCACUGGAGUUCGGCAGGGGAGACUGGAAUUCCUGGUGUAGCGGUGAAAUGCGCAGAUAUCAGGAGGAACACCGGUGGCAAAGGCGGGUCUCUGGGCCGAUACUGACGCUGAGGAGCGAAAGCGCGGGGAGCAAACAGG
Molecule: ribosomal RNA, 254 nt
Filed under: uncultured bacterium
Lineage: Bacteria
Description: partial 16S ribosomal RNA
Rfam family: Bacterial small subunit ribosomal RNA
Source: RNAcentral